CAACCUCCAAUAAGGAGGACCGUGACGUUACCCUCCGGUCACAUGCACGGCCAACCAGUCGCUUCCCUUUCCUUUCCUUUCCCUUUCCUCUUUUCACUUCCAUUUCCCCCUUCUCCAUAUUCCACAUGCUCUUUCAUUUCCUCUCACUCCUUUCCCCUUCACCUCCGGCAGAAACCCAUUCACAACCACAAUCGCCCAAAUCUGCCUAAUUGAUGGAUAGCAAGGGUGCGCACAACACUUCCCGCCCCCAUCUCGGCGGCGGAGGAGGCGGCGGCGGUGGCGGCCGAGAAGAUUGCUGGAGCGAAGGCGCCACCGAGGCUCUAAUCGAGGCCUGGGGAGACCGAUACCUCAUGGUGAACCGAGGUAACCUCCGUCAGACGGACUGGAAGCACGUCGCCGACGCCGUCAACGCCCGUCACAACGGCGUCAAGCCCCGAUGGACGGACGUCCAGUGCAAGAACCGCGUCGACACCGUCAAGAAGAAGUACAAGGCCGAGAAGGCCAAGACCCUGCCGUCAAAGUGGCCGUUCUAUCACCGUCUCGAUCACCUCCUCGGAAACGCCGUUCCGACCAGUAACAAGAAAAAUCAAAAGCCCCACACCGUUACUCUCACCGUUAAAUCUAGGUCAAAACAAAACCCUAACCCUAACCCUAACACCAUGGUCGUCUAUUCCGGUGGCUUGUCCAGGCGGAACUCGAGUGGCUCUGAUGAGAGCUCUCUUGGUGGUGGAAGAGACGAGGAUGUGAGGAAGAAUAGGAUGGACUCUGUGGAUUUUUCGGAGGACACCGCGUAUAAGGAAUUGGCGAGAGCAAUUCUUAGGUUUGGGGAGAUAUAUGAGAGGACUGAGAGCUCGAAGCAGCAGCAGAUGAUGGAGUUGGAGAAGCAGAGGAUGGAGUUCAUUAAGGAUCUUGAAUUGCAGAGGAUGAAUAUGUUUAUGGAAUCUCAACUUGAGCUCGAGAAAAUGAAGUUUCCAACAAAGUAUGCACCUGGUUCAGGCCAUAAAAACUUGAACUGAAUAUUAACGUGUCGACGGAUAUUUGCUUCGGAUAUUUGGAGAGACAUUUUUCUCUUGCUGCAACUGGAGAUGCCUACUUUCACCUCUCUCCGUCAGGGAAGAAGUUAUAGCUUGGCAUGAAUGCUCUCCUUGAGAAGGGACGGACAACUAGAAAUUUCUGGGAACCGUCACAAGACCUCACUCCGAAUGAGUAUAUUCAUCCUCCCUGGCAUGAUACGCUAUCUAUAGAUUCAAGUUUGAAGCAUCUAAUAUUUAAAAGAGGAUAUGGCUGUAUUAUAUCCAUGGCUGUCAUGUUUGUUGUAUAUUAUUAUUACUUAUUUUGCUACAGAUUUCUUGUACUUCAAAAAUUUAUCUAAGUGUAUUAUUAAAUCAGUGUA
RNA transcript from Cornus florida, 1393 nucleotides. It is a transcript of the gene named trihelix transcription factor ENAP1-like, with no coding region annotated. The record is from RefSeq and is a predicted model, not a curated record. The transcript is spliced from 3 exons. Lineage: Eukaryota; Viridiplantae; Streptophyta; Magnoliopsida; Cornales; Cornaceae.